RNAcentral lists this ribosomal RNA (253 nucleotides) under uncultured bacterium. Its description in RNAcentral is "partial 16S ribosomal RNA". It matches the Rfam family "Bacterial small subunit ribosomal RNA", at positions 524 to 776 of the family's 1533-position model. The record is from RNAcentral.
AACGUAGGUACCGAGCGUUAUCCGGAUUUACUGGGCGUAAAGCGCGUUCAGGCGGUUUGGCAAGUCGGGCAUGAAAUCUCUCGGCUCAACCGGGAGAGGUUGUCCGAUACUGCUGGACUUGAGGGCAGUAGAGGGUGGUGGAAUUCCGGGUGUAGUGGUGAAAUGCGUAGAUAUCCGGAGGAACACCAGUGGCGAAAGCGGCCACCUGGACUGCACCUGACGCUAACACGCGAAAGCUAGGGGAGCGAACGGG